This 498-nucleotide ribosomal RNA is filed under the name uncultured bacterium. Its description in RNAcentral is "partial 16S ribosomal RNA". It matches the Rfam family "Bacterial small subunit ribosomal RNA", at positions 30 to 523 of the family's 1533-position model. The record is from RNAcentral.
AUUGAACGCUGGCGGCGUGCCUUACACAUGCAAGUCGAACGGUAACAGGUCUUCGGAUGCUGACGAGUGGCGAACGGGCGAGUAAUACAUCGGAACGUGCCUAGUAGUGGGGGAUAACUACUCGAAAGAGUGGCUAAUACCGCAUGAGAUCUACGGAUGAAAGCAGGGGAUCGCAAGACCUUGUGCUACUAGAGCGGCCGAUGGCAGAUUAGGUAGUUGGUGGGAUAAAAGCUUACCAAGCCGACGAUCUGUAGCUGGUCUGAGAGGACGAUCAGCCACACUGGGACUGAGACACGGCCCAGACUCCUACGGGAGGCAGCAGUGGGGAAUUUUGGACAGUGGGCGCAAGCCUGAUCCAGCAAUGCCGCGUGCAGGAUGAAGGCCUUCGGGUUGUAAACUGCUUUUGUACGGAACGAAAAGCCCCGGGUUAAUACCCUGGGGUCAUGACGGUGCCGUAAGAAUAAGCACCGGCUAACUACGUGCCAGCCGCCGCAGUAA